AGAGUGUUGGAACCACCCGAUCCCAUCCCGAACUCGGAAGUGAAACGAUACAUCGCCGAUGGUAGUGUGGGGUUUCCCCAUGUGAGAGUAGGUCAUCGUCAGGC
Molecule: ribosomal RNA, 104 nt
Filed under: Endozoicomonas sp. OPT23
Lineage: Bacteria; Pseudomonadati; Pseudomonadota; Gammaproteobacteria; Oceanospirillales; Endozoicomonadaceae
Source: RNAcentral